UUUGGGCUUUUUUUUAGGGUGGUUCGGGUGCCUGACAUGUACGGGAGAAGCUUUUUCCAGCAUUACCAUCUAUAAUAAAAAAUAAAAAAAUAUAACAGAAAUGCGUUUUUUUUUAUUAACUAGCCUAGUAAGUAACAAAUCAAGUUUCAAUAUUAAAGUUAAUCUCUGUUGGUCAACUAAAACUUUCCUUUUCUCCUGUGACCUGUACUGCUUCAACACACGUUCUUGACUUAUGUAUAUAUAUAUAUACGUGUGGUCUAGCGGGACGGCUGCAGUGCAGGCGAUUUGGUGUCACGAUAUCACAGUAGCAUGGGUCGAAUCCCGGCGAGGGACAAAAAAUUUGCAAAGCAAAUUUACAGAUCUAACAUUGUUGGGUUGAUGUUUAGACGAGUUAUAUAUAUAUAUAUAUAUAUAUGUAUGUCCAACAUCAAGUUAUAAGCUUCUAUAAGACGAGCAUCAAUAAGAAUAUAUCUAUUAUACAUAAUCAUUAACCAUAAGAAUAGGUACAGAGAAAAAUAGACCAACAUUGUUACUUAACCGGAUUUUUGACGUUCUAAUGUCACAAGUGAUCACAAGUUAUCUGUAAACAUUCCGCUGGAAGACCUAUCUGAACACAUUAUUCUGAUGGAAGACCUUUACUUGGACACAUUAUUCUAUCAUUUUUUAAGUCAUUGGUUUGACCUACCGCGGUUCGAACCCACGACCUACCGCACUAGAAUCAAUGGAACACGCUUGCAUACAACCAGACAAUGCUGAUCAUAAACAGAAAAAGAAACACGAAAAAAAUUAUUUUCAAACAAUACCAAAAAUAUAUCAUUCCUACUUUACUCAAAGAUAAAUAAAAAUCAAGAAUUGCCUUAUACCUUUUUAAGACUUCCAUAGAAAAGGCGCUUCAUGAUUUUGUUUAAAUUAAUUAUGAAUAAUUAUUAUAUUUUUGGCCAAUGAAUUAUUUUACUGUAAAGAUUAAUAACUAUAAUCGAUUUAAAAAUAAACCAAGGAAAGUAUUAAGCCAGCAUAUUUAUAGGGGUGUUUUUAUACUCAUGAGUUACCUUUUUCAUAUUUUUUCUCUUUAAAAUACCCAUCUUCAACCAGUUUUGUAACGACAUUAAGAUUUGUUUAAUUUUUUUUAUUUUGAUUUGUAUUCGGAACACUUAUUUUUUUUACUUCAUCGAUUCGCUAUGGUAAAAGCUGCAAUCGCUGCUGCAGAUUGAACAUAUUGGAUGUAGUAGUGUGCUGGUAGAUAAUUUGAAACGCGAAACUUGCAUAUUGAUAAUGUAAAAUCUAUAAUUAAAAAAAAUGACACUUUAAAAGUUUGGUCGUCGUUUCAAAAGUGAGGCAUUUGCCUCAUUUGCCUCCAUUACGCUACGGCCCUGGUCUGACUUGUAAACUUGACAGCUACCAGUGGUGACGAUACGUGCAUAUCACGAAAAGGAUCUGACAUCAAAGCCCUUCUUUUACCUCUUCUCUUUUAUUGUGUAACUGAAUUGAAAUUUAUUCCUUAUGGAAACCAUGUUGGUGCCUGUGAUUCAGCACGCCAUUUUCUUUGAACCAAAACAACCCUUGUCAUGAGUUUUGCUAUCCCCGAAUUGAACAUACUUUUGUUAUAACUAUCAGCACUUAACAUCUAUACUGUACAGUAUAAAAGUAUAGUUAGUGUUACUAGUGGACUAAUUUUACUAAUAGAUCUCCACUAAUAGUGGCUAAUAUUGCAG
This 1712-nucleotide long non-coding RNA is filed under the name Mytilus galloprovincialis (Mediterranean mussel). The record is from RNAcentral. Lineage: Eukaryota; Metazoa; Mollusca; Bivalvia; Mytilida; Mytilidae.